AAAAAGAAAGAAAGAAAGAAAAAUAUCUAGCUUAAAUCAAAGGACUUUUAGGUAUUCAGAAAACCGACUUGGAAAAGUUACUUGGAAAGAAGCAUCCAUGCCUUGAUGGUCUUUCAUAGCGAAAUUCCCCCUGUAGCUCCCUUCAUGCCUCCUGGCAGUGACGGAUCUAAAGGAGGAAGGAUUGGGGUUGCAGCAUCGGGCAUUAGCUCUCACAUCAUUGUAAUCAUGAUUUCACUAGGGAGUAGUUGACUGAUGCCAAACUUACUCUCCCAAAGCCCCUAUACCUGUGGUGACAGAAUAGGCAGACAGCUCCAGGGAGACAGAAACAGAGCUGGGGAGCCUACACCAGGAGAAGCUGCAAUUGGAUAGGGGCAGAAACAGAAACCUUGGUUUUGCCACAGCUGACCAAAGAUUUCCACCAGUUUCUUGGUAAGGAAGAAAGCAAAGCAGGAAUUUGCACGGGAACCUCUGUGUAGAUCUUUUGUGGGCGUUGUCACACACUUCUGUUAACUAGAGAGAAAGCUGCUUGUCGGUUUCAUGGCGGAGCACGGGUCACUUGCUGUCUGUGGAGGUUUUACUAAUGCCUGGAAUUAAAGACCCUCUCCAGGGUGUCACAGACAGGAAAGUGAGUCCUGUGGUAGACGUGGUGGAAUAAUGGCCAGAGGGGGUACCCUUACAGAAUGGCACUUUAACAAGAAUUAGGUCUGCUGGGGUGGGCUUUAUGUGACAUGGAUUUUGAGGGGGUAAGAGAAGGAUGGAGCCAAGGGGGCCAGUCACUGUAGGAAGACCACGCCUCCAGGAGGGACAGCGUUGUGGCCCUCAGAGCUGGAGUGCCUCAGAUGUCUGUUGUGCCCCUGCCCCCACCACAUGGCUGACAUUACCAGCUGACAAGUGGCCAAUUUGAGGAGCCCAACAAUCUGGGAGGGGCUACGCUCCUUGAGGGCACCUGGUCAUGCUAACGGGUGCUCCCGGAGAGUGGCUCCGGGGGUGGAACUUCCAGCAUUGUGGCACCUGGAGGGCCAGGAGAGGGCAUUUUGGGGGCAAGGAGAGACACUGCCGUUGGCUGUCAACCUCACCCGUAGGUAUGUAGGUGGAGCUGAGGCUUUUUGCAGCUCAGCCCUUCCCCUCCCACCCCUCGGUUUGCUCCCUACAAAUCUUUCUCUGGGCUUGCAGGUUGUCAACAUAGGUUAUCAGCAGAGAAAGGGCAAGAAUGGGGUGGAGAUCAGAGAGCAGAGGAGGGAGAGGAAGCAGAAAUUCCAACCGUCAGCACAAACCAGACCCUGAAGGUUCCCGGGAAGGGGUGAGGUGUGAGUAGUUAGUGAAAGGCCAGCUGGUCUCCAUCUGCCUCAGGGUUAUCUGGCUUCCCCUUUAACCCAUGCCUCUGCCGCAGGCUGACUGUGGUGUGGGUGUGGCCCUGCUUACCUGAGCUGAUGGAGAGGCAGGGCCACAGGCUGACCCUGCCGUGGGGCCUGUGCCUACCCCAGGGUGCUGCUCUUCAGAGGCCCGAUAUAGCCUGUCCCUGCUGGUGCCCCCACCCCCUGCCCAGCCUCCAUAGUGGGCCCUGCUCCUUCACUCCUCCCCUUCCCGCCCUAGAUAGGACAUCCUGAGUCCAAGCAAACUGCUCACAAUAACUACUGGGAGAGAAAAGCCCCAGCUCAUUAAAGCCCCCCGUUUCCUCCUGGGCUGUGACACCAGCCCAUCUCCUCUGGUUCCGACCUUUCCCUGCGUCCCGAAUGAACACCCCUGCAUCUUUAGGUGACCGUUGCUAUUUGUCUUGCCAUUUGGGUUUGUUUUUCUGCAGCAGUUCAGAACUAGUGAAGUAAAUCGCUCUCCACACCAGGCUUCGCCCAGGCUCCCUGCCCACUGCAGGAGGGUGUGGGCGAAGUGGACACCCACUCAGAAGCCUCUGGUUCCCAUUUAGGCUCCAGCAGUCACUGAAACCCCAAUGAGCCUCACUUGCAAGGCUGUGCUGAAGAGUAAAUGAACUGUUUGUCACAGGCCUGGCACAAGGGGUCCUGAAGAUGACAGCGGUUGUGGUUGUGACACCUGCCUGUCACAGGCUUGAGGACCACCUGAGGCCUUGUCCAAGGUUACCUGGGUGGUUGGAGCUCCCAGGCCAGUGUUAUUCCCGCUGCCCCACAUUCCCUGGCAUCUCCAGCUUCUUAAAAGCAGAUAUGGGGGGAGAUGAGGGAGGACAAGGGAGGCUAUGUGGGGAGCCCCUGGGAGAUUAGGGGCUGCUGGGCACUGGGUGUCGAGUACGGGAGUCUCCUGCCUGCAGGGGAGGACAUGGAAAGUGGAAGGGGCCUUUCUGGGACGAAUGCUUCUCACUUUUCUCUCACCAAGGGGCUGUUCUGGGCCAGGGAAGGGACCAUGACUUGCGGGCCCGCGUUGGCACAGGCGUCUGCUUAUAGAGCCUCUGGUGCACACACGGUGGUGGGGCAGAGCCUGCUCCUCGGGCCUCCUACCCAGGCCGUGGCCUGGACGUCUUCUGGCUGAGCCACGAGGAGAGGCUCCCAGGAGAAGAGCAGCCAGAAGAGCGUCAGGAAGUGGGGGGCCUGGACCACCCUGGUUCUAACUGUGAAGCAGCUGCUGUUUGUAAAGAAAACGACUUUCUGCAGCUGAGUUGGCUCACGUGAGUGUCUUGGCUGCACUCAGUAAUCUCAACAGAGCAGGUGUGCGGUUUGGCUUUUGUUUUUGAACAUGUGACUCCACAGCCCGAGCUUCCUCUAAAUCCUUUGUCUCUUGCUGAUUCAUAGCAGCUGACCCGUAGCAGGAGAAAAAAAAAAAAAAAAAAACUCCCUAAAAUCCCCAAAGCCUCGGCUCCCUUGUAACAGUGUGACUUUGGCAAGGUUUCAUGGCCAUUUAUCGAGCAGCCACUGAGGGCCAGGAGCUGUGCUGGGGGCCUUUGAUGUAGUGUCUCAUGAACCUCCCCAGUACCUCUUCAAGGUGGCAAGGACCCCAGUUUACAGGGACUCAAGAAAGGUAGGCAGCCUGCCCAAGGCCGUGCAGCCAGUAAAAAGCAGAGGCGAGCUUCAGACCUUCCCUGCUGCCAACAUCUACACCCUCAACCCCUCUCCCAUCAGCCACUCAGGUCUGACCACUGUCUCAGUGGGACCCAACCCUAAAUCAUCCCAAAAAGAUGGCUAAGUUAGGUCAACUUGGGAAAAGAUAGCUCCUUCCCCGUCAGUGCCCACCAAGAGUCCAUGGCUGUGUGGGGUGGGGUAGUAGGGGGCCCAGCCAAAAGCCCCACACACCUGGGUUCAAAUCCCAGCUCCACCCCUGCCACUUGCCAAGCCUCUCUGGGCCCCAUGUUCUUCAUCUGUGAAAAAGGAAUGUUUCGUAGGGAAGAGUUCCUUUCUCUGCUGGGCGCAGUGGCUCACGUCUGUAAUCUCAGCACUUUGGGAGGCCAAGGCGGGCUGAUCACUUGAGGUCAGAAAUUCGAGACCAGGCUGGACAACAUGGCGAAAUUCUGUCUCUAUUAAAAGUGUAAAAAAUUAGCCGGGCGUGGUGGCACACACUUGUAAUCCCAGCUACUUGGGAGGCUGAGGCACAAGAAUCACUUGAACCUGGGAGGCAGAGUUUGCAACAAGCUGAGAUUGCGCCACUGCACUGCAGCCUGGGUGACAGUGAGACUCUGUCUCCAAAACAAACAAAAAGUUCCUUUCUCAUAGGGUUAUGAGGCUUACGUGAGUUACUAAAGUGCCCAGGACGUGGUGAGAGCUGUGCAGAGGUUUGCUGUUACUGCCCAAACCAGCCCCGAGCUGGACUCCAGUCUGAGUGCAACGCUGGAGGAGAGGGCAAAGGGGUCUAAGGAUGUGCCCAUCAAAACACACGGCACUUGGGUGACAGCAGCACAUGAAGCUUGUUCAGAGCCUGUCAUGUCCUCUCUGUACCUGGCCUAUUGUCCUCUGGAUCCGCGAAGGAAUGAGUGGGGCCCCAAGCUCAGUUCUUCCUCCUCUACAGGCCUGGAGGCUCUGUGCACACGCACUUCCUGCUUUCCAGGGGAGACUGUACCUGACGCCGUCAGCAUCUAUUCAGUCCUGAGCAUGGGCCAGAGAGAGUAGCAGACACUUACCUGUCGGGAGGACACACGCCAAGCAGGCCAGCAGCCGGAUGGAGCUUUCCAUGCUGUGAGCAUCUGAACAUCCCAGAGUUUGCAGUUGGAAUCAAAGGCCUCCCAACAAGGAAACAACUAAGUGCUUCAUUUAAUUUUCUGGCAAGAAGCUAAAGAGAAGGUGACUUGAGCUCCUCAUGUGUUUUGAUCACUCAACAAAGAAGACAGAAAAGGGCGUUUCAUAACCUGACAGUGGGAGAGCACAUUAAAAAGAGUGACUUGGAAAAAUCCAGUGUUGGGAAAUACUUCUGACAUGUCUCAGCUGACACAUCUACAGCAAGACUUGUGUGUGCUGAAGUUAACAUCCCAAGAAUAUCCUGGAAGCUGCACCUGAAGAGCUUUCCAGCAGAAGUGAAAAAGCGCUUUUCAUAUCCCAGGUCACUAGUAAAAUGAAGCAGUGCUUAGCAUUUUUAAUACAAGGCAAUAUCAAGAUUUCAAUUCAACUAAUAUCCUCUAUUUUAUUACACAAAAUGAAAUACAUUCUAUUGCCAGCAUGUACUAGAAGUUUGUGCAAUUGGAGAGACCUGAAGUCUUCAAUUUUCCAUGCUUCAGCUAUUACUUUUAAAAAUAAUAUGAAGUGUUGGAUAUGGAUAUAGAAGAAAGCAUUUAAACACUCAUGCUCUAGCAUAAUAAAGAGACUUUCAGCAUUGACACUUAUUUGGUACUUACUAUAAUCUUUAUUUUAUGUAGUUUUUGAUUUUAAGUAGCAGGAGAUGCCCAGUUUUCUUUAAAGCUGUAAUUGGAGACAAAAUGCUGUCAGAUAUUCCUGUAUCCUGGUUAAAACUCUUCCCUCCUCAGAAAACGCUACUCCCAGAAGUCUUGAUUGCAGACACCAGAGAGUGCAGCUGCAAGGAAGCUGCCAAAUUCGUGGCUUCAGUUGUGACUGACUCGUUCUCCCGAUGGGUGCACAAGAACAUUCCCCUCAGCAUGACAGCACAUGCAGAGGAGUACAUAAAUCCAUCACUGGAAAGGGCCAUUCCCAGCGGCCCACUUUUUUCUUUUGAGUCACGUAGACACUUGUCUCAAACUUAUUUCAAGAACACAGCCUGAAUUAUGAUUUCAAGAACACAGCCUGAAACUCCUAAUGGUGUUGAUUCACUCAGACUCAUUGAGCGCACUGGGUGGACACCUCCCUGCAAACCUGCUUCCACAUGAACUCAGGUGCUGCAUGCACCUUGCUUCAGAAAUCACGAAUAAAGGCCUGCCUUUGAGCUUCCAGGAGGAAGCUGUGGCUUUGGUAAAUUGCUUUCUAGUCUACCAGAACUCUGAUUUUGCUGCUUCUCAUCAAUUCUGGUGAGAUAAAACAUUCUCUUCUGAAGAAAAAGAGAAAAAGAGCAAGACUUAGAACUGUGAAGACAAGCCCCAAAUGAUGACUAGUUGGAAAUGAAUAGAAAUGAGGAUGGGUACUUACACCACUCUAGCAGGCUUCCCGGCAGCAGAAGGCAGUGGCUGAUAGAGAUUUGCCUGGCUCCACGACAAGGGAGAGUGCUUCUCAGGAGAUGGUGCUGAAGGGAGGCACCUAACAGUUAUAUACCCAGAGCCCCGCUCUGCUCUGUGUGUUUGUGGGCUCGGCUUUCUCCUCCCACUUCAGGCAUCAAUGCCAAAGCAACACUAAGGAACUGGUCCCCUGGCUUCAGUAACUGAUGUCUCUCUCUGUUCUUGACAUGGUGCCAACUGCUUUGCCACUGUUUCCACAGCAUUCCAGGGUCUUUGACCAGCAAUAAUCCUACAAAAAUACAUCUUUUUCUUCUCCUGUUUCCUCUGGCCCCUACUCAUAUUUUUGGAAAUAUUUACAACUGGAAAGGAUCAACACAGUGUCAAACUAAAAACCAUGGGGCAGGUUGCUGCUGUGUGGACUCGGAAGCUAAGCGACUGCUCCUGGGGUGAAAUUUUCUUAGACUUGACACAACUUCCACACAGAUGUAAGACUCCAGCAAGGGCCUGAGGGGCUGUUGGGAGGGUGGGGAAGACAAGGUACGGGCAAGUUGUUUUCUGAAAGUCAGCUGCCCUUUUUCCCAGUGAGGAGAAAACAAAAAUGUGUUUCCCUGGAAUAUCCUUCUUCCCAGGUGAGAAUUCUCGGACAUACUCUGCUGCCUUUUUAAAAGUCGGGAAGCAAACAUUCCAUAGCAGGGAAAUUUAAAACUGAAUUAAAAUAUCUCCUCCUUA
Macaca mulatta (Rhesus monkey) is the source of this 6280-nucleotide non-coding RNA. The record is from RefSeq and is a predicted model, not a curated record. NCBI's taxonomy places the organism in Eukaryota, Metazoa, Chordata, Mammalia, Primates, Cercopithecidae.